Molecule: ribosomal RNA, 482 nt
Filed under: uncultured bacterium
Lineage: Bacteria
Description: bacterial SSU rRNA
Rfam family: Bacterial small subunit ribosomal RNA
Source: RNAcentral
AUCCUGGCUCAGGAUGAACGCUGGCGGCGUGCUUAACACAUGCAAGUCGAACGAAGAUGCCGGAGUGCUUGCACUUUGGCAGACUGAGUGGCGGACGGGUGAGUAACGCGUGGGUAACCUGCCUCACACAGGGGGAUAACAGUUGGAAACGGCUGCUAAUACCGCAUAAGCGCACAGUACCGCAUGGUACAGUGUGAAAAAACUCCGGUGGUGUGAGAUGGACCCGCGUCUGAUUAGCUAGUUGGCAGGGCAACGGCCUACCAAGGCGACGAUCAGUAGCCGACCUGAGAGGGUGACCGGCCACAUUGGGACUGAGACACGGCCCAAACUCCUACGGGAGGCAGCAGUGGGGAAUAUUGCACAAUGGGCGAAAGCCUGAUGCAGCAACGCCGCGUGAGUGAAGAAGUAUCUCGGUAUGUAAAGCUCUAUCAGCAGGGAAGAAAAUGACGGUACCUGACUAAGAAGCCCCGGCUAACUACGUG